GAUAUGAAAUCGGUGGGUGCAGGUCAACUUUUGUGUGUUGAAUUGAUAGUCCAUGAGAACGAGCUGACUAAGUCACCAAACCAAAGCCGAAUUCCGUGACCAUCGAACAAGAACACGGCAUUUCGUAUUCAAUACUAUAAUUAAGCGAUGUCUUCAUAUGGCUUGAUAUAAAAAGUCAACUUGAAACCUCCAGAUAUCGAUGCAGGAUCGGGGCCAUACCAUAUAUGGCAUUUUUUGCAUGUGAUUUAUAACGAGUUCACUUCUAACAACAUCGGGGUUUCAAAUUCUGUAAAGCUUAAAGGUGGAUAUCUGGAUAUUUACGGGAGAUUAAAAUAAUUAAUAUGCGGGCUCAUACAGGUAGGUAUACGGCAGGUUUGUUUUCAUACUAACCUCUCUUCUAGCUCUACAUGUGUGGGAAAAGAAUAUAUAUGAGUUCUGUGUGUUGGAAGAUUUCAUUAAUUUCAGUUCAGAUUAUUUGCAUUAAUUAGUGACCUCCCCAUUACCUAAAUAUUUUUGGAGCUAUAUAUCUUGAGUCAACAGCUAGACCUCUCUAUUACCUAAAUAUUUUUUGGGCUGUAUAUCUUGAGUCUACACCUACCAUCGAUCUUCUUCUUCUUCUUCUUCUUCUUCUUCUUCAGAUUGCAUCAGAAACUAUUCCAUUAACUGAUGACAAUGGCCUGGCUAUCGCUCUCGCUCUAACAAUGUUAUGAAAAGUUUUAAUUGCAGUGAUGUAGAUGUUUGUACAUACGUUACUAGCUACGUAUUAUAUAUGGUCUGUCUAAAAAGAGCUGUUUUAAUUAAAGCAUGCAACUAACAAAUCACUGUUAUCAUAUCUAUCGUUUAUCAGUGUAUUAUCACAUAAUAUCUUCAGCUAGACGUAUAUCCAUCAACCAGCAACUUCUAACCGAAGAAAUUAUCUGGGACGUACCUAUUCUUAUAUAUAUAUAUAUACAUAUAUGUAUAUGUGUGUGUAUACACACCCAUAUAUACCUAUAUAAUCAACCUGGACAUCUCCAACUUUUUUAAAUAUGAAUUUGACAUUUUACAAUGUAAAAUUUUUCGUAACACUAAAAAAUUCUUUUACAACACAGAAUCUGUAUUUUAAAAAGUACAUAAGUUUGCAUCUGAGAAUGACUCUUCAUAUGUAUUGCGAUUGAAUCAAUAGAAGGGAACAGAUAAGCAUAUUUGCUUCUUUUGAAAAAGUUUCUUGAUCUCUUCCUUUUAUUAGUUACGUUUAUAUUUUUCUAUGUUUGUUAACCUACCAAAAUAUAAAACAUAAAACGACACUUUUUGGCAGAUCACAUUUCUUUCAAAUACGAAGAAAUUAAUAUCAUUAGAAAAUUUAACCGAACACUCUUGGUAUCGAAAAACUUGAAAUUAAAAGAAAACUAUAAGCAAAUAAUUAAAAGAGAAACAGAAGUUCGGCAAAGCAUAGCGAACCUCGAUAUUUAUAUUUCUAAUCACCUGGGUGACUUGUAUCAGAAUUUCUCCUUGUACUCUCAUGAGGAUCAGAAGCUGAUGAUGAAGAGCUUUCAAGCUGCAUGCCAUAUCUUAAUAACUCAUGCUGCUGCGGUUGCUGAGACGACGUCGCAGAAGACGAAGAUGAAGAUGAAGAAGUGGUCGGUAAAGUC
RNAcentral lists this long non-coding RNA (1631 nucleotides) under Citrus sinensis (sweet orange). RNAcentral's name for it is "long non-coding RNA (CSIN_LNC003045)". Lineage: Eukaryota; Viridiplantae; Streptophyta; Magnoliopsida; Sapindales; Rutaceae. The record is from RNAcentral.